GGGCGGCAGCGGAGGGUGGCCAGUGACGCUGGGGCGGCAGUCCCUCGAAAGGAUAACAAGGGAGCCCAAAGGUCGGCUCAGGCGGGUCAGAACUCCGCCGUAGAGGGCAAGGCCAAAAGCCGGCCUGACUGCGUCCUCACCACCAAGGGACGCAGGGGCGAAAGCCGGGCCUAGCGAACCCGAGUGUCCCUCUUGGUGAGGGCCUCGGAUGACAGAAAAGGUACCCCGGGGAUAACAGAGUGGUCGCGGGCGAGAGUCCCCAUCGACCCCGCGGUUUGCUACCUCGCUGUCGUCUCUUCCCAUCCUGGCCGUGCAGCAGCGGCCAAGGGUAGGGUUGUUCGCCCGUUAAAGGGGAACGUGAGAUGGGUUUAGACCGUCGCGAGACAGGUCGGAUGCUAUCUUCCGGGGGCGCAGGACGCCUGAGGGGAAGGUGCCCCCAGUACGAGAGGAACAGGGCACCGGCGCCUCUGGUUAACCGGCUGUCCGACAGGGCAGGCCGGGUAGCUACGCGCCAGCCGAUAAGGCCUGAAAGCAUCUAAGGCCGAAGCGGCCCCUGAGACUAGGCGUCCAGUCCGGGUCCUUCCGAAAGGGAGGGUCCGGGCGCGGGCUGGGGCUAGACGACCCCGUUGAUAGGCCGGGGGUGUACGCGCCAAGCUUCGGCGAGGCGCUCAGCCCACCGGUACUAACCGCCUGAAGC
RNAcentral lists this ribosomal RNA (697 nucleotides) under Hadesarchaea archaeon. RNAcentral's name for it is "partial 23S ribosomal RNA". It matches the Rfam family "Archaeal large subunit ribosomal RNA", at positions 2312 to 2976 of the family's 2987-position model. The record is from RNAcentral. Lineage: Archaea; Methanobacteriati; Hadarchaeota (SeqCode); Hadarchaeia (SeqCode).